AAGCACAUACAAGAAACGAUUCAUCUGAAGCAACCGCAUAAGGCCCUCCAGUAUAAAACUGCUGCAAAGACUGCAUACACUUGUAACUCUUCUUCAAUGAUACUGAAGCCAUUUUAGUGUCUUUCUUCCUCUUGAUUUGGGCAGCGAAAUUCUCCAACACCACACACUAUAUGUAAAUUGUGAAGCAAUAUGUGCCAGUUCUCUGAAAGAGCGUUAAAGGGCGGAGCAGGAG
Molecule: unclassified non-coding RNA, 232 nt
Filed under: Hevea brasiliensis (rubber tree)
Lineage: Eukaryota; Viridiplantae; Streptophyta; Magnoliopsida; Malpighiales; Euphorbiaceae
Source: RNAcentral